AUACAGCUGACAGGUCUCAAACAGGACGAAACGCGCGUCCUGGAU
This 45-nucleotide non-coding RNA is filed under the name Schistosoma mattheei. The record is from RNAcentral. Lineage: Eukaryota; Metazoa; Platyhelminthes; Trematoda; Strigeidida; Schistosomatidae.